Chlorocebus sabaeus (green monkey) is the source of this 90-nucleotide microRNA precursor. NCBI's taxonomy places the organism in Eukaryota, Metazoa, Chordata, Mammalia, Primates, Cercopithecidae. The record is from Ensembl.
GAAAACUAUUAGGUUGGUGCAAAAGUAAUUGUGGGUUUUACCAUUGAAAGUAAUGGCAAAACCCACAAUUACUUUUGUACCAACCUAAUA